UAGUAACGGCGAGUGAAGAGGGAAAAGCUCAAAUUUUGAAUCUGGUGUCUUUGACUCCCGAGUUGUAAUCUAGAGAAGUGUUUUCCGCGUUGGACCGUGUACAAGUUCCCUGGAACGGGGCGUCAUAGAGGGUGAGAAUCCCGUAUAUGCCACGGACUACCAAUGCUCUGUGAUACACUCUCAACGAGUCGAGUUGUUUGGGAAUGCAGCUCAAAAUGGGUGGUAAAUUCCAUCUAAAGCUAAAUAUUGGCGAGAGACCGAUAGCGAACAAGUACCGUGAGGGAAAGAUGAAAAGCACUUUGGAAAGAGAGUGAAACAGUACGUGAAAUUGUUGAAAGGGAAGCGUUUGAAGUCAGUCACGUCUGUCGGAAUUCAGCCUGGCUUCUGCCUGGUGUACUUUCCGUCCGACGGGUCAGCAUCAAUUUUGAUCGAGGGAAAAAGACAUGAGGAAUGUGGCUGUCUUCGGGCAGUGUUAUAGGCUCGUGUUGUAUGUCUCGGUUGGGAUUGAGGAACGCAGCGCGCCUAUUGGCCGGGGGUUCGCGCCCCUCGGUACGCGCUUAGGA
Molecule: ribosomal RNA, 563 nt
Filed under: uncultured Sebacinales
Lineage: Eukaryota; Fungi; Basidiomycota; Agaricomycetes; Sebacinales
Description: eukaryotic LSU rRNA
Rfam family: Eukaryotic large subunit ribosomal RNA
Source: RNAcentral